Molecule: RNA transcript, 2471 nt
Organism: Homo sapiens (human)
Lineage: Eukaryota; Metazoa; Chordata; Mammalia; Primates; Hominidae
Gene: P4HA3
Gene name: prolyl 4-hydroxylase subunit alpha 3
Exons: 14
Source: RefSeq, marked reviewed
GUCUGAGGGGAAGUUCGCGAGCGCUGGCUAUGGGUCCUGGGGCGCGGCUGGCGGCGCUGCUGGCGGUGCUGGCGCUCGGGACAGGAGACCCAGAAAGGGCUGCGGCUCGGGGCGACACGUUCUCGGCGCUGACCAGCGUGGCGCGCGCCCUGGCGCCCGAGCGCCGGCUGCUGGGGCUGCUGAGGCGGUACCUGCGCGGGGAGGAGGCGCGGCUGCGGGACCUGACUAGAUUCUACGACAAGGUACUUUCUUUGCAUGAGGAUUCAACAACCCCUGUGGCUAACCCUCUGCUUGCAUUUACUCUCAUCAAACGCCUGCAGUCUGACUGGAGGAAUGUGGUACAUAGUCUGGAGGCCAGUGAGAACAUCCGAGCUCUGAAGGAUGGCUAUGAGAAGGUGGAGCAAGACCUUCCAGCCUUUGAGGACCUUGAGGGAGCAGCAAGGGCCCUGAUGCGGCUGCAGGACGUGUACAUGCUCAAUGUGAAAGGCCUGGCCCGAGGUGUCUUUCAGAGAGUCACUGGCUCUGCCAUCACUGACCUGUACAGCCCCAAACGGCUCUUUUCUCUCACAGGGGAUGACUGCUUCCAAGUUGGCAAGGUGGCCUAUGACAUGGGGGAUUAUUACCAUGCCAUUCCAUGGCUGGAGGAGGCUGUCAGUCUCUUCCGAGGAUCUUACGGAGAGUGGAAGACAGAGGAUGAGGCAAGUCUAGAAGAUGCCUUGGAUCACUUGGCCUUUGCUUAUUUCCGGGCAGGAAAUGUUUCGUGUGCCCUCAGCCUCUCUCGGGAGUUUCUUCUCUACAGCCCAGAUAAUAAGAGGAUGGCCAGGAAUGUCUUGAAAUAUGAAAGGCUCUUGGCAGAGAGCCCCAACCACGUGGUAGCUGAGGCUGUCAUCCAGAGGCCCAAUAUACCCCACCUGCAGACCAGAGACACCUACGAGGGGCUAUGUCAGACCCUGGGUUCCCAGCCCACUCUCUACCAGAUCCCUAGCCUCUACUGUUCCUAUGAGACCAAUUCCAACGCCUACCUGCUGCUCCAGCCCAUCCGGAAGGAGGUCAUCCACCUGGAGCCCUACAUUGCUCUCUACCAUGACUUCGUCAGUGACUCAGAGGCUCAGAAAAUUAGAGAACUUGCAGAACCAUGGCUACAGAGGUCAGUGGUGGCAUCAGGGGAGAAGCAGUUACAAGUGGAGUACCGCAUCAGCAAAAGUGCCUGGCUGAAGGACACUGUUGACCCAAAACUGGUGACCCUCAACCACCGCAUUGCUGCCCUCACAGGCCUUGAUGUCCGGCCUCCCUAUGCAGAGUAUCUGCAGGUGGUGAACUAUGGCAUCGGAGGACACUAUGAGCCUCACUUUGACCAUGCUACGUCACCAAGCAGCCCCCUCUACAGAAUGAAGUCAGGAAACCGAGUUGCAACAUUUAUGAUCUAUCUGAGCUCGGUGGAAGCUGGAGGAGCCACAGCCUUCAUCUAUGCCAACCUCAGCGUGCCUGUGGUUAGGAAUGCAGCACUGUUUUGGUGGAACCUGCACAGGAGUGGUGAAGGGGACAGUGACACACUUCAUGCUGGCUGUCCUGUCCUGGUGGGAGAUAAGUGGGUGCUCCCCAUGAGGAGGUGGGAAAACAAAGAAGAGAUCAAUAAGCAGAUGGACGUGUUUAUGUCACAUAUACAUCCAGGAGCACUUAGCUCUGAAACAGAAAGAGAAGUGGAAGGGGGCUCAUAAGCUGAGGUGGAGGCUGCCAGGAGAUGCCACCCGUUUUUCUCUCAGUACUCUGGAAUGGCUUCAUGGGGAACAUGGGCUUCUAAAAUGAAGGUGGCCAACAAGUGGAUACAUGAGUAUGGACAGGAAUUCCGCAGACCCUGCAGCUCCAGCCCUGAAGACUGAACUGUUGGCAGAGAGAAGCUGGUGGAGUCCUGUGGCUUUCCAGAGAAGCCAGGAGCCAAAAGCUGGGGUAGGAGAGGAGAAAGCAGAGCAGCCUCCUGGAAGAAGGCCUUGUCAGCUUUGUCUGUGCCUCGCAAAUCAGAGGCAAGGGAGAGGUUGUUACCAGGGGACACUGAGAAUGUACAUUUGAUCUGCCCCAGCCACGGAAGUCAGAGUAGGAUGCACAGUACAAAGGAGGGGGGAGUGGAGGCCUGAGAGGGAAGUUUCUGGAGUUCAGAUACUCUCUGUUGGGAACAGGACAUCUCAACAGUCUCAGGUUCGAUCAGUGGGUCUUUUGGCACUUUGAACCUUGACCACAGGGACCAAGAAGUGGCAAUGAGGACACCUGCAGGAGGGGCUAGCCUGACUCCCAGAACUUUAAGACUUUCUCCCCACUGCCUUCUGCUGCAGCCCAAGCAGGGAGUGUCCCCCUCCCAGAAGCAUAUCCCAGAUGAGUGGUACAUUAUAUAAGGAUUUUUUUUAAGUUGAAAACAACUUUCUUUUCUUUUUGUAUGAUGGUUUUUUAACACAGUCAUUAAAAAUGUUUAUAAAUCA